RNAcentral lists this ribosomal RNA (469 nucleotides) under uncultured bacterium. Its description in RNAcentral is "partial 16S ribosomal RNA". It matches the Rfam family "Bacterial small subunit ribosomal RNA", at positions 28 to 507 of the family's 1533-position model. The record is from RNAcentral.
GAUGAACGCUGGCGGCGUGCUUAACACAUGCAAGUCGAACGAUGAAGCUGGAGCUUGCUCUGGUGGAUUAGUGGCGAACGGGUGAGUAACACGUGAGCAACCUGCCCCUGACUCUGGGAUAACAGCCGGAAACGGCUGCUCAUACCGGAUAUGCACCAUGAACGCAUGUUCUGUGGUGGGAAAGAUUUUUCGGUUGGGGAUGGGCUCGCGGCCUAUCAGCUUGUUGGUGAGGUAAUGGCUCACCAAGGCGUCGACGGGUAGCCGGCCUGAGAGGGUGACCGGCCACACGAGGACUGAGAGACGGACCAGUGGCGUACGGGAGGCAGCAGUGGGGAGUAUUGCACAAUGGGCGAAAGCCUGAUGCAGCAACGCCGCGUUAGGGAUGACGGCCUUCGGGUUGUAAACCUCUUUUAGCAGGGAAGAAGCGAGAGUGACGGUACCUGCAGAAAAAGCGCCGGCUAACUACGUG